Molecule: ribosomal RNA, 253 nt
Filed under: uncultured bacterium
Lineage: Bacteria
Description: partial 16S ribosomal RNA
Rfam family: Bacterial small subunit ribosomal RNA
Source: RNAcentral
GACGUAGGGCGCGAGCGUUGUCCGGAUUUAUUGGGCGUAAAGAGCUCGUAGGCGGCUUGUUGCGUCGGCUGUGAAAACCCGCAGCUCAACUGUGGGCUUGCAGCUGAUACGGGCAGGCUAGAAUUCGGUAGGGGAGACUGGAAUUCCUGGUGUAGCGGUGAAAUGCGCAGAUAUCAGGAGGAACACCGGUGGCGAAGGCGGGUCUCUGGGCCGAUAUUGACGCUGAGGAGCGAAAGCGUGGGGAGCAAACAGG